UACGGAGGGUGCAAGCGUUAUCCGGAAUUACUGGGUUUAAAGGGUGCGUAGGCUGGAUAUUAAGUCAGUGGUGAAAUCCUAUCGCUUAACGAUAGCAUUGCCAUUGAUACUGAUAAUCUUGAAUUAGGUUGAGGUUAGCGGAAUGUGACAUGUAGCGGUGAAAUGCAUAGAUAUGUCAUGGAACACCAAAUGCGAAGGCAGCUAGCUAGGCCUAAAUUGACGCUGAGGCACGAAAGCGUGGGGAGCAAAC
Molecule: ribosomal RNA, 250 nt
Filed under: uncultured bacterium
Lineage: Bacteria
Description: partial 16S ribosomal RNA
Rfam family: Bacterial small subunit ribosomal RNA
Source: RNAcentral